This 1857-nucleotide long non-coding RNA is filed under the name Mytilus galloprovincialis (Mediterranean mussel). The record is from RNAcentral. Lineage: Eukaryota; Metazoa; Mollusca; Bivalvia; Mytilida; Mytilidae.
GUUUUAUACAAUAUACAAUGUAUAUUCACUUUUACUACCAACUGAUAGAUUAAAACAAUCUUUACCAUUCAGUAAUAAUAACAAGCACUUUUUUUACAUUUUAAUAUUUUAUGAUGUAUUUAAAUGAGUAGUUAUUGUUGCAAACUUCAUUAGAAAUUUGAAUUGAGAUCAGUUUUGAAAUAAGGGAAAGGGGGAUGUGAAAAAAAAAUUGGGGGGGUCAAUUUUUUUCAUUUCAGAUUUCAUAAAUAAAAAGAAAAUUUAUUCAAACAUUUUUUUGAGAGGAUUAAUAUUCAACAGCAUAGUGAAUUGCUCAAAGGCAAAACAAAAAUUUUAAGUUCAUUAGACCACAUUCAUUCUGUGUCAGAAACCUAUGCUGUGUCAACUAUUUAAUCACAAUCCAAAUUUAAAGCUGAAUCCAGCUUGAAUGUUGUGUCCAUACUUGCCCCAACCGUUCAGGGUUCAACCUCUGCGGUCGUAUAAAGCUGCGCCCUGCGGAGCAUCUGGUUGAGUUUUGGUCUUUUUAUCUAAUACUAUAUGCCAUAGGUCAACUGUAUUUGGUGUAUGGAAAUAUUUUAUGAUCUUUAUGUUAGUCGCACAGGUUUUAUUUGACCGUGACCUCAUUUUCACGGUUCAUUGCACAGUGUUAAGGUUUUGUAUUUUGCCUUUUGGUCUAUUUUUCUUAAACUAUAAGUAAUCGGUCAACUAUAUAUGUUGUAUAGAAGCAUUGUUAGCUGUACAUGUCUGCCUGGCAUGGUUCAUCUGACCUUGACCUCAUUUUCAAGGUUCAUUGGUCUUUGUUUAGUUAUCUUGGUUAAUGUUAAGUUUAUGUGACAAUUGUUAUAAAGCUUAGCUUUAUACUUAGGACUAUCAACAUAAUAUCAAUGAUUAGUAUAGAAGGCGAGACAUUUCAGCGUGUGCACUCUUGUUUCUGUUGAAGUAAUAGGAGAAAUAAAGGUAAUAUCGAAAUAAAAAAAAGAAAUUUAUUACAGAAAUCGCUAAAAUUUUACAAUAAUUUAGUUUUAGUACAGCUUAUAUGGAAAUUAUAUUAAAAAAGAUAGGUCACCGAUGAGUUGAAAAAGAUAUUUCAAUUUUAGAGCCAAAAAAUGGCAUUUUUCCACCAAAGGGAGAUAAUUUGGAACUUUUUCAAUGAUGUAUACAUUUUGAAAGUCAUCUGGAGCCAACACGAAUUGAUUGUUUUGAAUGAUUUUUGUACCAUAUGAUAAAGUAACAACUACAAAAGGAAAUAAAUAAAAUUUGUAAUGAAAAACAAAUGUUUGAUUUUUUUCUGAAAUUUUUAUACCCUCGAGCCUCCUUAAGAUUGUUUGCAUAUUGUCUAAAAUCAUUUGAGAAAUAGAUUUCACCACCAAAUCUCGUGCAAUAUGAUAUUUAUCCACUCUCAAUUAAAUUUUAAAUACAUAAUGUAUAUAAAAUGAUCUAUAAUUUAAAAUCUAAUCAGUGCUUUCUGGACAAUUUUAAAGGUCUGAUUUUGAAAUAAUGUUUUGUCUAUAAUUUUAAUAGAAAACCAAUUGUUAGACUUAUGACAGCAGGUAAGAUUACCAGAAAAUGCAGACCAAAGUUUCAUUACAGUAUCAGAAUUUGGGCUUUUUAAAGCCCAUAAUUAGCAAAUAAACAACAUGCAAAAUAAUUUAUAUUUUUAUCAAGGAUUUUAAGUAGGGGGUUCUAAGAGUUCUUACUAUGAAAUAAAAAUCCUCAAAAUGUUUGAGGUUAACAACAGAUCUGGGUUACAGUGCCCCACUUUUUGUCCUCAAAUGCCAAAUUAGGGGUUUACAUAGUACUAGUAUGUAAUUUUAAGAAACCUAUAUAGUAUAAUUUAUUAAUUUUUCUUUCAAAAGGAAC